This 1739-nucleotide long non-coding RNA is filed under the name Mytilus galloprovincialis (Mediterranean mussel). Lineage: Eukaryota; Metazoa; Mollusca; Bivalvia; Mytilida; Mytilidae. The record is from RNAcentral.
UUAUUUAAAUGGGCAUCUAUGAGAAAACCAUGCAGAUGGUGCUCCAUGCAAAGUUGUUUGAUUUUGAUGAAACUUUGCUGACAUGUUCAGGUUGACCUCAUAUGAAAGUCAUGCAAGUUUGAAGCCCUUACACUGCUGGUAACCAUGGCAACGAUAGGGAUUUAGGGUAUUUUCGAGUUUAUUUAUAGAUGCAUUUACUGAAAUGCAUAGAUUUCAUAAAUUUCUCAAAUAGAAAUAAAUACUAUAAUACUUCUGAGUGUUUAAAUACUUUAAUAGCACAGAUAGGAUGUGUAUGAAGUAUAAAUCACAUAAUUUUAUUAAACAUAAUGAUAUAUAUAGAAAAUAAGGGUGUGGCAAAACACAUAAAAUGAUAAAAAAUAUGGCCUUUUCAUCUAAUCACACUAAAACAGACACUACAGCCCAAAAGUCGCUUUAAUUUACCCUAAAUUUCAGAAAUGCUUUGCAUUUUCUUUGGUUCAAAAUAUUUUGAAGGGAUUUCGGUUGCAAAUUAAUUUUAUAGAUUUUAUUGAUCAUUUAGAUAGCCUCCCCCCCUUUUUUUGUAUUUUCGCAAUAAAUUGAGGAAAGUCUCAUAUUUUAAUGAAACCAAGCAUUCAAAAAUAAAUACUUGAAUUAUACAGAUUGUAACAUGCAAUAUAGGUAAAUCAAAUAGAAAAUUCAAAGUGAAAUGGAUUUUUGUGUCACAAACAAUAGUAAGCAUAAGGCUUAAAAAAAGGGGGGGGGGGAGCUGCCAAAGACAAUUUUUUUUUGGUAUUUUUUUUUAUUCCAAAUUCCUUUAGUACACUUGUCCCUAUUACUUUAAAGAGUAAAAUCCAUUCAUUUCUUCCUAGUAAUCCCAUUUUUGGUUAUUGCAGCUUGCUAAUUACUAAAGUUGUAUUCUGGUUACUGAAAAAUGAUAUGAAAUUCAAUGUCAAGUUCAUCAUAUUGAAAAAUCUUAAGUAUUGACAUUCAGAAGUUGUGUCUGACAGGUAAACAAAAUUAAGACAGGUUGCAACCUUUUACUUGCAUGCUGGUUACCAUAUAAGUCAUUUUGAUCAUGAGUACCUGAGACAGUGUGGAUAAAAUCUGAAUUUCUAUUGUACAAAGGGAGAUAAUCCAAUAAAAAUGCUGAUUUUUAAAACCUUAAAAUUGCAUGUACAUAUUAAUUUAAACUAACAUACACUUCAUCAAUUUAAUAAAAUAUAAACAUAUCUCUAUUUGGUUAUCUGGAGAGAGAGUUAAUAGUGCAUUUGAGCAUAUACUCUUGGUUUGCUUUUGUUGUAGUACUUUCUAAAAUUCUCCUAAAAAAAGGUCUAAAUUUAUAAAUUCUCUUUUAGCAUUGAUACAUUUUUAAAUAUCUCAAUCUGUAUAAAUGAUCAUAAAUGUUAUUAUUUUUUAUAGCAUUAGUAUUAUAUUUAACAAUCAAUGAAGAUGAUACAAUAACACUAAAUGGUGCUUACAUGCAAGAAUAAGAUUAUUAUAAACAUACAUAAAAGUUAAUUCUAAUUGACUUAGCAGCACAAGACAAUUGUUGCAUUAGGUAUAGAAUUUAGGGAAGUAUUAAAUUGUUUCCAUACUAUCUUAUAAGAAUUUACAUACAUGUAACUACAUGAACUAUGAAAGGUAAUUUACUAAUAAUUCAAUGAAUAAAACUAGUUAGUCAAUCUAAGAAACAAUUUCUGACAAAUGAAAAUAUUAUUAUGUUUAUCAAAUGGCCAAGUACAUUCGUAAUCUUCUUGAUU